CUCAUUGACGUUACCCGCAGAAGAAGCACCGGCUAACUCCGUGCCAGCAGCCGCGGUAAUACGGAGGGUGCAAGCGUUAAUCGGAAUUACUGGGCGUAAAGCGCACGCAGGCGGUUUGUUAAGUCAGAUGUGAAAUCCCCGGGCUCAACCUGGGAACUGCAUCUGAUACUGGCAAGCUUGAGUCUCGUAGAGGGGGGUAGAAUUCCAGGUGUAGCGGUGAAAUGCGUAGAGAUCUGGAGGAAUACCGGUGGCGAAGGCGGCCCCCUGGACGAAGACUGACGCUCAGGUGCGAAAGCGUGG
RNAcentral lists this ribosomal RNA (300 nucleotides) under Escherichia coli. RNAcentral describes it as "bacterial SSU rRNA". It matches the Rfam family "Bacterial small subunit ribosomal RNA", at positions 465 to 764 of the family's 1533-position model. The record is from RNAcentral. Lineage: Bacteria; Pseudomonadati; Pseudomonadota; Gammaproteobacteria; Enterobacterales; Enterobacteriaceae.